CUGGUCGGCACCAGCGUCCAGCGGCUGCCAUUUCUUUGCCGGCAGUCCAAGCUCGAGCUCCAGCGACUGGCUGCAGCAAGCAAGCACCUGACAGCUGCUGCUCCUGACGCGGCAGUUCGGAGUCGUUGCUCCCACCGCACUUCCAUCUUCUCCAUUCAUGCACUGUUCAGAUCCAACCUGCAGCCAAAGAGCGAGCUCUGGCAACCGGCGGGCACCACACGGUUGCUGCUCCUCCACCUCCACCGUGAUGCAGGCCAACGCAUGGAAGUACAGAUCCAAGUGAAUUAUCUAGAUUUUGAGCUAUUGAGGAUGAUAUUUGGGACUAGUUUGGAAGAGGCAUGGAUUGGAAACGUUGGAGAACAACAAGAUUAA
This 372-nucleotide long non-coding RNA is filed under the name Oryza sativa Indica Group (long-grained rice). RNAcentral describes it as "lncRNA OsKYG_10g0007860". RNAcentral also lists the same sequence under 1 other name. Lineage: Eukaryota; Viridiplantae; Streptophyta; Magnoliopsida; Poales; Poaceae. The record is from RNAcentral.